Molecule: long non-coding RNA, 345 nt
Filed under: Elaeis guineensis (African oil palm)
Lineage: Eukaryota; Viridiplantae; Streptophyta; Magnoliopsida; Arecales; Arecaceae
Description: long non-coding RNA (EGUI_LNC082027)
Source: RNAcentral
UUGCUCUUUUCAUCAAGGUUUAAAAAUAUUCCAAGUAAAUUAUCACAAAUAUUCUUCUCUAUAUGCAUGACAUCAAGAUUGUGCCGAAUAAGAUUAUGUUUCCAAUAAGGUAAGUCAAAAAAGAUACUUCAUUUUUUCUAUAAAUAUUUACUGGGCUGUUGUGUAGAUGCUAUCUGUGUGUCUUCCUCAUUUUCAUCCUCGAAAUAAUUGUCUGGAUCUUGAAACACCUCUGCAUCUAUAGUACUGAUACUGACUUUCUUUGGUAACCCUUCGUGCAUUGAGCUUUCAACAUCAUCCUUUCCUCUUUUUUUAGAGAACUUUGAGUGCUUACCAUAGCUGUAAUUG